This 709-nucleotide ribosomal RNA is filed under the name uncultured bacterium. RNAcentral's name for it is "bacterial SSU rRNA". It matches the Rfam family "Bacterial small subunit ribosomal RNA", at positions 48 to 724 of the family's 1533-position model. The record is from RNAcentral.
CUAAUACAUGCAAGUCGAGCGCGGGAAGCAGAAGGAUUCCUUCGGGAUGACAUCUGUGGAACGAGCGGCGGAUGGGUGAGUAACACGUGGGCAACCUGCCUGUAAGACUGGGAUAACUCCGGGAAACCGGGGCUAAUACCGGAUAAGACUUUAUCUCGCAUGAGAUAGAGAUGAAAGAUGGCUUUUAGCUAUCACUUACAGAUGGGCCUGCGGCGCAUUAGCUAGUUGGUGGGGUAAUGGCCUACCAAAGCGACGAUGCGUAGCCGACCUGAGAGGGUGAUCGGCCACACUGGGACUGAGACACGGCCCAGACUCCUACGGGAGGCAGCAGUAGGGAAUCUUCCGCAAUGGACGCAAGUCUGACGGAGCAACGCCGCGUGAGUGAUGAAUGUCUUCGGAUUGUAAAACUCUGUUGUUAGGGAAGAACAAGUACCGUUCGAAUAGGCCGGUACCUUGACGGUACCUAACCAGAAAGCCCCGGCUAACUACGUGCCAGCAGCCGCGGUAAUACGUAGGGGGCAAGCGUUGUCCGGAAUUAUUGGGCGUAAAGGGCGCGCAGGCGGUCUUCUAAGUCUGAUGUGAAAGCCCACGGCUUAACCGUGGAAGGUCAUUGGAAACUGGGGGACUUGAGUGCAGAAGAGGAGAGUGGAAUUCCAUGUGUAGCGGUGAAAUGCGUAGAGAUAUGGAGGAACACCAGUGGCGAAGGCGA